UACGUAGGGGGCAAGCGUUGUCCGGAUUCAUUGGGUGUAAAGAGCGUGUAGGCGGCCAGGUAGGUCGGUUGUGAAAACUGGAGGCUCAACCUUCAGAGGUCGAUCGAAACCAUCUGGCUAGAGUCCGGGAGAGGAGAGUGGAAUUCCUGGUGUAGCGGUGAAAUGCGCAGAUAUCAGGAAGAACACCCGUGGCGAAAGCGGCUCUCUGGAACGGUACUGACGCUGAGACGCGAAAGCGUGGGGAGCGAACAGG
RNAcentral lists this ribosomal RNA (253 nucleotides) under uncultured bacterium. Its description in RNAcentral is "partial 16S ribosomal RNA". It matches the Rfam family "Bacterial small subunit ribosomal RNA", at positions 524 to 776 of the family's 1533-position model. The record is from RNAcentral.